RNAcentral lists this long non-coding RNA (220 nucleotides) under Amborella trichopoda. RNAcentral describes it as "long non-coding RNA (ATRI_LNC005359)". The record is from RNAcentral. Lineage: Eukaryota; Viridiplantae; Streptophyta; Magnoliopsida; Amborellales; Amborellaceae.
CGCACCCGACGAUCGAAUAUAUAUGAAGAGAGAGAUUGGAUAUGCAUUGUGUGCCACUCGUUUGAGGAACCAUACUCCCACCCCACGAUCAAAGGAGAAAUCCAAUGGCUCUUACCCCCCUACUAUUUAUCACUAUUUAUUCAAGAAUCAAGAGCAAGAGCGAGAAAUACUAAUGCUAUUAAGGAAGAAAAAAAAAGAAAGAAAAAGGAUAAAAAAAAAA